RNAcentral lists this ribosomal RNA (305 nucleotides) under uncultured bacterium. RNAcentral's name for it is "bacterial SSU rRNA". It matches the Rfam family "Bacterial small subunit ribosomal RNA", at positions 335 to 637 of the family's 1533-position model. The record is from RNAcentral.
CUUCCUACGGGGGGCAGCAGUGAGGAAUAUUGGUCAAUGGGCGCGAGCCUGAACCAGCCAAGUAGCGUGAAGGAUGACUGCCCUACGGGUUGUAAACUUCUUUUAUAAAGGAAUAAAGUGAGGCACGUGUGCCUUUUUGUAUGUACUUUAUGAAUAAGGAUCGGCUAACUCCGUGCCAGCAGCCGCGGUAAUACGUAGGGGGCAAGCGUUAUCCGGAUUUACUGGGUGUAAAGGGAGCGUAGACGGCAACGCAAGCCAGAUGUGAAAUCCCCGCGCUCAACGUGGGAACUGCCUUUGAAACUGGC